RNAcentral lists this ribosomal RNA (498 nucleotides) under uncultured bacterium. Its description in RNAcentral is "partial 16S ribosomal RNA". It matches the Rfam family "Bacterial small subunit ribosomal RNA", at positions 29 to 523 of the family's 1533-position model. The record is from RNAcentral.
AUUGAACGCUGGCGGUAUGCUUUACACAUGCAAGUCGAACGGCAGCACGGGGCAACCUGGUGGCGAGUGGCGAACGGGUGAGUAACAUAUCGGAACAUGUCCGGAAGUGGGGGAUAACGUACCGAAAGGUACGCUAAUACCGCAUAUGCCCUGAGGGGGAAAGGGGGGGAUCGCAAGACCUCUCGCUUUCGGAGUGGCCGAUAUCGGAUUAGCUAGUAGGCGAGGUAAAGGCUCACCUAGGCGACGAUCCGUAGCUGGUCUGAGAGGACGACCAGCCAGACUGGAACUGAGACACGGUCCAGACUCCUACGGGAGGCAGCAGUGGGGAAUUUUGGACAAUGGGCGAAAGCCUGAUCCAGCCAUACCGCGUGAGUGAAGAAGGCCUUCGGGUUGUAAAGCUCUUUCAGCCGGAAAGAAAUCGCACUGGUUAAUACCUUGUGUGGAUGACGGUACCGGAAGAAGAAGCACCGGCUAACUACGUGCCAGCCGCCGCGGUAA